RNAcentral lists this ribosomal RNA (505 nucleotides) under uncultured bacterium. Its description in RNAcentral is "bacterial SSU rRNA". It matches the Rfam family "Bacterial small subunit ribosomal RNA", at positions 501 to 1008 of the family's 1533-position model. The record is from RNAcentral.
CUACGUGCCAGCAGCCGCGGUAAUACGGAAGGUCCAGGCGUUAUCCGGAUUUAUUGGGUUUAAAGGGAGUGUAGGCGGUUUGUUAAGCGUGUUGUGAAAUUUAGAUGCUCAACAUUUAACUUGCAGCGCGAACUGUCAGACUUGAGUACACGCAACGUAUGCGGAAUUCAUGGUGUAGCGGUGAAAUGCUUAGAUAUCAUGAAGAACUCCGAUUGCGAAGGCAGCAUACGGGAGUGUAACUGACGCUUAAGCUCGAAGGUGCGGGUAUCGAACAGGAUUAGAUACCCUGGUAGUCCGCACAGUAAACGAUGGAUGCCCGCUGUUAGCGCCUGGCGUUAGCGGCUAAGCGAAAGCAUUAAGCAUCCCACCUGGGGAGUACGCCGGCAACGGCGAAACUCAAAGGAAUUGACGGGGGCCCGCACAAGCGGAGGAACAUGUGGUUUAAUUCGAUGAUACGCGAGGAACCUUACCCGGGCUUGAAUUGCAGAGGAAUUAUUUAGAGAUA